RNAcentral lists this long non-coding RNA (934 nucleotides) under Carassius auratus (goldfish). RNAcentral's name for it is "lncRNA (ENSCARG00000062021.1)". The record is from RNAcentral. Lineage: Eukaryota; Metazoa; Chordata; Actinopteri; Cypriniformes; Cyprinidae.
AUAAUAAUUAUAUGCGAUUUAUAUAUAUAUAUAUAUAUAUAUAGCCUACUUUAUCUCUGUUUCUAAACUUUCUGAGCAUGUCACACUGCAGGACGCAGCUGUCACCGACUGACACAUUAGAUUGACUAGACCAAUACAGUGUGAUGAAUGUUAGCAAAAGAUCAGAUUAAGAGAUUUGUUGAAUCUUUGCUGCUCUCUCGUGAUAUUCUGUCUGAUUCAUUCCACAGUGAGGAAUACACACUUCUCAUUGGCAGGCAGCUCACAUUCUCUGGCUCGGAGACUCCCAGCACAUGUCACAGUUGACUUCUGUUGAUUCAGAGGUAGAGCGAGUACUCUCAGAGUGUUGCUAACCACAGGCCAGUCUGGCACACAAUUUUUCUAUCCGUCUUUUUCUCAUUGUCUGUUAAUUUGUCGAUCCACUGUUUUUCCACCGUGUUCAUAUAAGGACACAAGCACACUGAUCAUUGAAUGAUUUGGACUACAUCGGUGCUAUUAGGAGCUUGUCCAAAGACAGAGGCAGACACACCUGGGCUGCAUGAAGAAGACAGCAGACAAACUCGAUAUAACCUUCCAGGAACACGUCUUAAUACAAGUGAACAGAUACACUUGUACAGAUGCAGUCAUUUCCUCUUUAUCUCGAGGUUACUCAUGGAGGGCUUCAUUGUGACAGUUGGAUGACAUGACCAUAUUUUAAGGAAUAUAAGAUGGAUGAGGAAUGGCAAGCUCUCAGUAUAAGGCUCACAAGAAGAAGAAUCCUUGUGCUGAGGAACCCUAUACACUCUUACAUACUGGAUCCAGAUUUCCAGCGCUGGAGGUCUGUGGUGAACCACCCACUGCUGGCAGCGGUCUAACCCGGCUGAGGCAGCGGAUGGGGUGGGUGUUGAAUCCCGUGGAGAGCACUGGAGACCAGACCAGCCCUGCUGAAUCAUGCUAA